RNAcentral lists this long non-coding RNA (1174 nucleotides) under Lepeophtheirus salmonis (salmon louse). Its description in RNAcentral is "uncharacterized LOC121130760". Lineage: Eukaryota; Metazoa; Arthropoda; Copepoda; Siphonostomatoida; Caligidae. The record is from RNAcentral.
ACAUUUAUAUGAGUUUUAAGACUUGUAAUAGCUCUAGUGAGAACACAUUUCAUUCCUGAACAGCUCUUCUUGGUUUUAGUUGCAAUCUUAAUUAAUUACAAAGUCAAAUGCACUAACAACAACGAUCAAUUUGAAUCACUUCCCACAAAGAUAUACACUACACCAAGGGGUCCUGUAAGCAGGACCGGGCACGCGCAAACAUGAAUUCAAAUAUGCGUGCUACAUGGGGCUAUUGAAAAUAAAACAGAAAAAUAAUACAACGUGUUUGAUAAGAUAAUCAGUAAUAACUAAUGACCAUUAGUUAUUUUGUGCACGCCAUCUUUAUUGUGUUUUGUAAUUCCAAUCAUGCCCAUUAAGUGUUAUGAUCCAAUGUGUGGAACAGUUAUGACGACGAACCACAGCAGUCUGAUGUUACGAUCCAUGUGUGGCCAAACUAAGAGAGAAACCCUGGACUUGAUACCGCCUGGCUGAGAGCAAUUCCUAGAGAAACAGGUGUGAAGAAGAUAGAUUAGGCAUCAUCCAAAAGUACAAAGCUGUAUUCCCUGCAUUUCAACAACUCUGAUUUCAUCUGUGAGUCUAAAAGAAGUCAGCCCCUUAGCAAGGCUAGGUAAAAGAGGCUCCUCAAGCCAGAUGUAGAUGGCCAAACUGUCCCAAAUACCUCUCAACUCCUAUAGCGGCAUCAAGGCCAACUGAAGCUGUGACGAUUUUCAGAAAUUAAAGCUCUGCUGGAUAAAGACCUGGUAAAAGAUGAGUUCAUUUUGACUAACUGGCAACCAGAUGACCUCCAGGAACUAUCUUCCAAGGGAGAGAGUAAUGCUCUCUACUUUGUUGCCGGGCCUAUUGUUUUUGUAGAACAAGAAGAUCAGCUGUAUAUCAUGCCAAGAGUUAAUGUUAAUCUGAGACACACCUCCAGACUCAAUAACUUUCAAUAGGCCAAUCAAUCACAAUUCCACGUUUAAUAUGUAUUCUCUCAAUUUUAUCCAUCUUCGUUAUUUGUCGUUUUCAAGAUAUUAUGGACUUGAUUAACGUAAUCACUUAAUUGGUUUUGGCGACUGCGCCACGGCUGAUAAUUAUAAUUACAAAUACGUAGCACUAAAUAAUCCUUAAUGAUUAUAAAAUAAAUCACGACUUGUUACUUUGAUAGUAUAUAUAAGAAUAAAUCUAUAUUCAUUUA